CAAGUCAGUUAAGAACACAUUCUUAUUUUCCAUGACGGCCUAGGAACAGUGGGUUAACUGCCUUGUUCAGGGGCAGAACCACAGAUGUUUACCUUGUCAGCUCAGGGAUUCAAUCUUGCAAGUUUACGGUUAACUAGUCCAAUGCUCGAACCACCUGCCUCACAAGGAGCCUGCCUGUUACGCGAAUGAAGUAAGAAGCCUAGGUCUUGAUCAUCAGGCCUGGGUGGUUGUGGCUCCACAAGUGAACACUUCUCUGCCGUUAGGUGUGAUGACUGGCAUAAGGUGUCAGCGAGAGCUUUGCUGUUGGCAGCCAUCAUCUCUCCCCUGGGUGUCUGUGGUUUUGCCUGAGUAGCAGAGUCAGUCAGAGGGAGGCAGCAGGCUGGAGACUAAGCUGUCUGGGGCCUUUGGCGGACUCUCUCUCUCUCCACCAGAAGCCCGUGCCAUAUUGUGACCUUCAGCCAGAGCAGACUGAAUCAUCGACAGUGGGAACAGAUUGAGUGAGCAGAUGAGCCGUGUGUAGCCGGGCAGAGGGCAGGCCUGCGGAAUAGUACUCAAAUACCCCUGUGCCAAUCUGUACAACUGGCAUCAAAUGGACUGUUUCGCACCCAGGCCUUUAACCCCCUAAGGUUGAUGUCUGCGCCCCCAUGAAAAUCUAAUUAGUAUUAUACAAAAAAUCACAAUAAAAAUCUGUCAGUUUAAGCUA
Molecule: long non-coding RNA, 703 nt
Organism: Oncorhynchus keta (chum salmon)
Lineage: Eukaryota; Metazoa; Chordata; Actinopteri; Salmoniformes; Salmonidae
Exons: 3
Source: RefSeq, a predicted model, not a curated record